RNAcentral lists this ribosomal RNA (398 nucleotides) under uncultured bacterium. Its description in RNAcentral is "bacterial SSU rRNA". It matches the Rfam family "Bacterial small subunit ribosomal RNA", at positions 490 to 890 of the family's 1533-position model. The record is from RNAcentral.
GCCCCGGCUAACUACGUGCCAGCAGCCGCGGUAAUACGUAGGGGGCGAGCGUUAUCCGGAUUCAUUGGGCGUAAAGCGCUCGUAGGCGGCCUGUAAGGUCGGGAGUUAAAGGCGGAGGCUUAACCUCCGCAUGCUCCCGAUACCGGCAGGCUUGAGUUUGGUAUGGGAAGGCGGAAUUCCCGGUGUAGCGGUGGAAUGCGCAGAUAUCGGGAAGAACACCGGUGGCGAAGGCGGCCUUCUGGGCCAUAACUGACGCUGAGGAGCGAAAGCUGGGGGAGCGAACAGGAUUAGAUACCCUGGUAGUCCCAGCCGUAAACGAUGGACACUAGGUGUGGGGGGAUCAUCCUUCCGUGCCGCAGCCAACGCAUUAAGUGUCCCGCCUGGGGAGUACGGCCGCA